RNAcentral lists this ribosomal RNA (253 nucleotides) under uncultured bacterium. RNAcentral's name for it is "partial 16S ribosomal RNA". It matches the Rfam family "Bacterial small subunit ribosomal RNA", at positions 524 to 776 of the family's 1533-position model. The record is from RNAcentral.
UACGUAGGGGGCAAGCGUUGUCCGGAAUCAUUGGGCGUAAAGCGCGUGUAGGCGGCCCGGUAAGUCCGCUGUGAAAGUCGGGGGCUCAACCCUCGAAUGCCGGUGGAUACUGUCGGGCUAGAGUGCGGAAGAGGCGAGUGGAAUUCCUGGUGUAGCGGUGAAAUGCGCAGAUAUCAGGAAGAACACCCGUGGCGAAGGCGGCUCUCUGGGACGGUACUGACGCUGAGACGCGAAAGCGUGGGGAGCGAACAGG